GGGGAUAUAGCUCAGCUGGUAGAAUGCUUGCCUAGCAUGCAUUAGGCCCUUGGUUCAAUCCCUAGUACUACCA
This 73-nucleotide transfer RNA is filed under the name Ictidomys tridecemlineatus (thirteen-lined ground squirrel). RNAcentral's name for it is "Spermophilus tridecemlineatus (thirteen-lined ground squirrel) tRNA". It matches the Rfam family "tRNA". From Rfam's summary of the family: Transfer RNA (tRNA) molecules are approximately 80 nucleotides in length. Lineage: Eukaryota; Metazoa; Chordata; Mammalia; Rodentia; Sciuridae. The record is from Rfam by way of RNAcentral.